CUAGAUCGGGAUCGCGCCAUGGCGCGAGGGUGCCGGUCUCAACGUACUGUCGAAGCAUGUAACAAUAUGUCAGUAGAAACUCAAGUAUAGCAUUUGCACUUACACAGGAUCAUAAUAAAAUAAAAUAAACAUUGAAUAGCGAUAGAAGUAAAACACAAUGGAUCUCAAGAUCAACAUCAGAUUAUAAGACAGGAUCAAGCACAGUAUCGACAGGCACAGUGUUACAUGUAAAACAAGUGAGGAGACAUGAAAUAGAAUCCAUUACGAGCAUACUAAAUAAGCCAGUCAAUUAUGUCCUUGCAUUCACCAGCAACCAACAGCUAAACAGACCCCACACAAAAGCAAAGACCAAUUCAGAUCCGAGUACUAACAGCCAUUAGUCUUUCGCGAACACCACACUAACUAAAGUUUCCCGGGGUCGGCGGAACAGAACAUCGAUUCAUAAACAGCAUGACACGACAAAUGGGACAAUAGACCUAGAGCGAAGCUUCACCGUCUAACCCGCGUCGCGAUGUCCAUUCGCUAGGUGAUCACUUCGAGCACGCACAUAACCAACAGUGUGAUCCUGAAAAAACAGAAGCUAAAAUGAAAACCAAAUUGGGUAUAGCACAAAAGGUAGUUAAUGAUAGAAAAGGCAGUGGACAGACACACCAAAAGAAUAGGCUCUCCAAUGCCGCCUGAACUACAGCUUGAGCCUUUUAGCCACAUUGGAGCCGUCUCCUUCUGCCGCCAGGUCAUCAGUUGAUUUACUUCAUGGACAAACAACGAGCUUGUAAAAGAAGGCAGCAAUGACGCAUAUACUGUUAGACACUUGCUUCAAAUCAAAGCCAUAUACCUAGAGGUAGCAGCAAGAUCAUCACCGAGAACAACAGAGCCACCAUCCAGUUUUGCACCCCCCUGGCAGGUAUAAACAAAUAUACCAUGUCAACCGAUCACCAAAUAAUCAUGUGAUCAGGUCUGGAUGAAUCCUCACCAAGCAAACAAAAGAAAAUAUAGUAUGCUACAUUACAUCUUAAGUACAAGUGUAGAUAAUUUGAUAUCCGAUAUAACAGAUGCUUUAGUUAACCAAACUCAAAGGACCAAGACUCUAGUCAGAUGAUUCUAAAAUAACAUCAAGAUUUAUUUGUUUUAUUAUAUUGUUAGCCAAUUAUGCGAGGUAUUUCUAACGCAUCUUGAUGUUAUUUUAGAAUCUGAAGCAUUCUCCUAUUUAUUUGUUAGCACACAUAAAUGCAAACUUGAGUUAUUCUGUUCAAGCAUACAACAAAAACAAGUUGAAAAUACUACAGAUUCGAAAGCACAAGUAAAGCCUACAAGAAUGAUUCUCUUAUUUAUUUGUUACCACACAUAAAUACAAACUUGAGUUAUUAUGUUCAAGCAUACAACAAAAACAAGUUGAAAAUACUACAGAUUCAAAAGCACAAGUGAAGCCUAUAGGCUGAAACUAUUGCAGAUUCAAAAAACACAUACCAUUUUUAAUUUCAAAUUGAGCAUAGAUAUGAACCUGAAUUAUUUUAUCUGAACAUAUGAUUAGGAUAAAUCUAUGGUUAGGAUAAGCCUAAAAGAGCUAGAUUUACAUGCCUGAGACACCGUAGAUUUUCUAUUCAAGCAUAUAGUCAGGAUAAUCCGAAAUAAGUAGAACCCUGAACCAUCGCUUAUCCCAGAAUAACAAAGUGCAACUUACUCUUAACCAGAUUAGAUCAAGGACCAACAACAAACAAUAAAAGAUCAAAGGUAUGAGAGAGAAGAAAUCUUUACAUAAGACGGCUAUAAACACUGGAGCAUAAAUAAGCAACACCUUUAAAUAAAAUUAGAAGGGUUCAGUGUUCAAUGCAUAGUGGGCUCAGAUUCGCCUUUCCUCGAUCAUAUAAUCUACCCCCAUCAUCUCUUUCACCAGAUCAAUCUGUUUAUACAGUGGAUCUGCCCUGGUUAUCAUUCAACAAGAAUGACCAUCCAAGGACAGAACAAUAAGUAUCACAGGAUCAAAAAGGAUUCUAGAGACGAGGAGGAGGAUCCAACUUGAUACCCAUAGGCGCCUCGAUUGCUCAAAGGCACACUUAUUUCAGCCACGGCUAAUCAUCAUCGCCCUAGCAAGAAUGGCUUCCGACCAAUGGGGCACGUGAUUCAAACGCGGUGGCACGAUAUAUCUCACCGCGGUAGUAACUAUUAAUGGCUACAGGAGCUCUGGCUCGAUCCUACGGCUGAGAUCAAUCCGGAGCGAGAUCCGGCAGCCAGAAUCGCAUCAAGAAACCGAUCCGACGGCCGAAAGUGCCUGAGCUAUGAGGAGCCAGGUGAGGUGCUUCGUUUCUUCUUUCUCGAUGGAUCACCAGAUCAAUAUUUUCUUAUGACGGUGAAACUGCCCUGGUUAUCACUCAUCAGAAAUGAUCAUCCAAGGACAGAGCCACUAAAAUAAGAACAUGAUCAAAAUGGCUCAAAGAAAUGAGGGGGAUCCAAAUUAAUACCCACAAGUGCCUCAAUUGCUCGAGAGCAUGCCUAUAUCAGCCAUAACUGAUCAUCGUAGCCCUGGCCAUGUCCCAUGCAGUAGCCGAAGCAGAGCAGGAGGAAGAUGGAGCUCACCGAGGGAGGUUGUAGCUGAGGCAGUACUCAGUGGGCGCCGGGGUGGCGCCUGAACGCCGUCCAGCCGGCAAGGAACCGCUUCCUACACCGCACAUCCACGACGCUGCAUCGGAGUUGCGCCUUGCACCGUCCAACCGAUGAGCACAAGGAUGAGGUCAUGCAUAGCACAUCUAGGAGCUUCCUGAUGGCUGGCUAGCACAAGGGAGGGCCGACGCGAUCCCGCAUCAACGACAUGAAUUUGCAUAAAUCCAUCCUUGCUCUUACCAUGUUUUCUGCAAAACACACACAGAGCCCAAGCAUGUUAAUAGAGCACAACCAGAAUCUUCUAUCUCAUAUGGAGAUUAAAAGGAACAACAAUAAAGGACAUAUGAAACCAGUGGCUCAAAUUUACACACAUGAUCAAGAAAAUGGCAGAGUGGGCAGCAUAUAUAUGCAGCAAUCCAUCUCCAUGCUCUUAUCAUGUUUUAUAAAAUCCAGAGUGACGCCUACCAUCAGCAACAUAACUUGCAUAAAGUGACACCUACGAUUAGUAAUACUGGAAUAAACCUCACUAUAAAUUAGAGCACGUUGAUACUCUUUACAGGGAUAAAUUAGAGCAAAAACUGGAAAACAAAUUAUGGUUACAUACUAUCUUCAGGCAUGUCCUACAGUGAAAUAGAGACUGAGCAGUGAGGGAAGGUGAGAAAGAAAUUAUAUUUGAUGAGAAUCGAUUUUGGUCCUUAGUAUUACAUGGAUUUAUCAGUCGAUGCACAUGAAGGGUGGCUUUAGAAUUUUCUUGUCUUACUUAAAAAAACAGAUCUACUCAGCAUGCACAUAUGAGACAUACAUUCAGAGAUCAGGAGAACCAACUAAUGUCACCGUUAUUAUUUUUUAGCAAGCACUCUAUCGUUAUACUGGUCUCAAAUUUGCGCAUCCGAUUUUGCAGCUUUAUUGACCAUAAAGCAACAAUAUAAAAAUUUACCAUGAAGAACAUUGCACAUCACCCGUCCAUAAAUCAUGAAUUGCACAAAAGAAUAAAAGACAAACAAGAGGGAGCUGGUAUACCUACGAACAAGAUGGAAUUGGCAAGGUUGCCGACAAGGAAGUCCAACUCUGUCCAAGGACUCCUACACUUUUGGGAUAGAUGUUGUCGCACACAGAGCAGGCCCUAGCCAUGGAAUUGAGCGGAGCUCAGGGGAGAGGUGGACAAUGCCGCGAAGAUGAGAGCACACCUACAACAAUCAUUCUAGAGAGCUCAAGGUAAGGCCUGUAAAAAAUAGCCAGCAAUAGAAUUAGGCAACAGAAAUAUCAACCUAACCAAGUAUGUAAGAUUUAAGACUAUAAGGCAUGCACGGAAGCAAACAAUCAAGGCUGAGAAACAAGUGUCAUGCCUAAUUGCUCUUUAUUGCUGUUGUAAACUAAAACAGAAACCACCACAAACAACUAUAUAUUGUGCAUACAUUAAUCAGGGGCACAUUAAAACAAAAAAGCAUCUAGUGGGGUACUCCUAAUUAUCGUAUGACCUCAAGAAAUUUGGCAGGCCUAACGCCCCUCCUCAACAACAAAGCCAUAAUGUAUGAAAAAACCUAGCUAGAUCCAACGCUCCCCUGGACAACAAGGUACCCGCAAAAAAAGGCAGAUCCAAAAAUCCCCUUCCUCUAUUUUAGCCUUCAUCUCUCACCAGAUCCAUUUAUUCAUCCAAAAACACCCAUCAUAAGGGCCACACAAAAGCACUAAAGCAUCUCAUGGGGUACUCCUAAUUAUCACAUGAUCUAUCACAUUUGGGUACCUUCCUUUGUAUUCUUGAGUACAGUGUGAUGAACAUUAUUCAAUGAGAAACCAAUUUUGGCUAGCAAGAACACAGGGUAAGCCUCAAACUCACCAUGGCUAGGAAAAGGUCGCCGCACGCAUGAGAGCCAAUUUCAAUUUCCAAGAACAGAGGGUAAACUCCAAACUCACCAUGGAAUCCUGCCUUUGCUUCGCUCCUGCUUCUUCUGACAAAAUUAACAAAGUUCAGAAAAGAUUAGUAGGAGCACGAGAUCCUUGAGGCACAAACUCCGGACAUCAAAAAUUACUUUUUGAAAAGAAUAAGCAUUUUGACCUUUGUUAGGCUAAACAAAAAAAGAAAGAUCGUGAUAAUAUUUAGAUGACAAUCAAGGUGGUUUGCACAAUCUGACAUAUAAGUUCUAACUACACAUGGAUAAAGACAGAUGGCCAAUUACCUGAUAGACCUAUUGUUGUGGUUAUGUUGUUGUCCAUCCAAUAGAAAAGAAGAUGUAUCCUUUCUUCUGUAGGAAUCUGAGAGGGACACACAAGUUGUUCCAAGUUGUCCUGACCAAAGACAGAGUCAGUAUAAGACCAAAAGAAGUAGACCAACAAUCUUGACACAUCUCAUAUUCAAAUGCAUAUGCAGAAAGACCAAUUUGUCUCCUAGUAUCAGAUAGGAACAAAAAAUUCCUCGAGAAAGGACACAGCCUCAGGACAAAUCGGUCCUCCUAAAUAGAAAAUAAACAGGUACCCAACAAGCUAAGGAAGGCAACAAAAACUACUGUGCAGAUACCUAGGACACAUCUAGUUCUACCCACCCCCUCAAUUCUAACCUAUUCACACAAUGCAAAACUGAAGAACACAACAUCAUGAGAAAAAAAUGCAAAGCUGGAUCUGCCUCUCUAUGAACACCACACCAAGUUGCUA
This 5247-nucleotide long non-coding RNA is filed under the name Triticum aestivum (bread wheat). RNAcentral's name for it is "long non-coding RNA (TAES_LNC018790)". Lineage: Eukaryota; Viridiplantae; Streptophyta; Magnoliopsida; Poales; Poaceae. The record is from RNAcentral.